This 315-nucleotide ribosomal RNA is filed under the name Nostoc sp. DGRKF. Its description in RNAcentral is "partial 16S ribosomal RNA". The record is from RNAcentral. Lineage: Bacteria; Bacillati; Cyanobacteriota; Cyanophyceae; Nostocales; Nostocaceae.
CUAGAGAAACAACCAGCGACAAACCCGAGCAAGCAGGGGAAGACGGAAAGCAAGCAUGACCCGGAAGGAUUGGGCGAAAAACGUACGAAAAUGCCACGGAAAAACGGCAGCUAAACAGCGAGGUCAACCAAAUAAAAGAAACCGAAACUCAGAGCAGAGCGAACGCGGCAACACGAAUUCCUGAAGGAGGAAACGCGAAGAAAUCAGGAAAAAAAACGGCAGCGAAAACGUGCCCAGGCCGUAAACACACCGACCGACAAACCAGGGAAGCUAGACACCCCCGAAGUCACUACCGCAAACGAUCGAGAAGAGGCA